Amphibalanus amphitrite is the source of this 1677-nucleotide long non-coding RNA. RefSeq lists it as uncharacterized. Lineage: Eukaryota; Metazoa; Arthropoda; Thecostraca; Balanomorpha; Balanidae. The record is from RefSeq and is a predicted model, not a curated record. The transcript is spliced from 2 exons.
CGAACAUUCGUAUUUGAUACUUUAGCGCAAUAACUGUCGACAAAACAAUGCUACAAACAGCUGAUUGGUACACGUCCGUGCAAAGCGUAUUUCAAUGCACAUUAUUUUUCAAACGUAUUCCUGAAUAAUUAGAAACAGCAAAGCCAAUUCGAAAAUGUUUUUGGAUUAGCUCUCUAGAGUCAUCACAAUUAACAGAAACAGAUGACCCAUGAGCAGCAAAAAUUUACCGUACAAUGUAAAUAUUACCAACCAGUCUCGUUUCUUAUAGGCAUCUUGCUCGUAACCAUGGCAACGAAGAAUUGAUCAAACGCAGGUAGCCGACUUUAUAUGCAUUUAGGGCCUUGGCCGCCGAGAUACAGUGCCCGAUUCAAAUGGUAAGGCAAGUCACCCCUAAACUGGUAUUUGCCCUCGAUACAGUCCUUGUCAAAAUACAGAUAAGUCAGUUUUCGAACUCGCGCGUUACACUUCGCCAUGUUCUGAGCAGGCGCCAAGCAUUUGUAGAUUGCUAAUUUUUCCGAAGUCAGCCCUCGAAGCACUCAUCACGACGUGAAGAACUUGGAAACACAAAUGGCUCAUUAUCGAGAAGAGAAUAUAUGCAACCUCAUUCCGAAGAAAGCACCGCCACCACCAAAACUACUGAAAUAUGUUUCAAAAUUUCAUAAUCAGACCAAACAAGAAAUUGCAAGCAGCCAGAGGCAGCAUGCUCAUUUUGGCUAUCAACAUUACCCCGCCGAUAACCCGUGCGAAUUCCUUCGAAAACAGUCGAAAAAGCCCAUGACGACACCAGCAGGACACCCAAAGCAAAUCGUGAAGGCAGAACGGUUGGUAGACGACAAAAUGCCCGUUUCACUAAAGGAACGAAAGAAAGAAGGGAAGAACUUCUUGGCAAACAACAAGAAGGAAGUCAAAGAAAAGCAAAACGUUUACGUGCCAGAACGUAAGUAUGUUGAUACCAAGGGAGGCGAUAAGCACACACUUGAGCCAUCCGGUUUAAAGCUAAGAUACGUAUUCAAGAAAGACUUUGGUAAGACACCAAAAUAUUUAGCCAAGCGAGACGUAGAGAUGCGAGAAGCACAGGAACAACGAGAACGCGAAGCGAGAGAAGCAAUAGAAUCUCAAAAGGCGAAGCAAAUAUCGGAAGAAGAGCGCCAAGAGAUGCUGAAAGGCCUGAAAGAAAAUUGGGCAGCUCUGAACAAAGCAUACUCGGCCCAGUCGCUCUGCAUCGACAAUCUACCGAAGCAGUUCCGUAAAGAGAGCCUGGAGCGUCAGAUGGCGGCGCUGGAGAAAGACAUCGAUCUCGUCGAGAGGAACACCGUCAUACUGAUCGCCAGUCCCAGAGGCCACACAACCAACUAGAUCGACAGCGUCCACAAUCCACACUCGUCUCACGUGUUCCCACCAUUUUAAGUCCCCUGUCUUGUCAAUGAACGGCAAAGUAAGCGACGGAGAGGAUGUUCGCUAAGUGUUAAUACUUUUAGUCCUCCACAGUCCACUGUGUACCUGCAGUGUAUCACAAAACAGCUAAUAUGCUGCUCACAGCCCAGAUGAGACGUCGAAAAAUGUUCAUUUACAGUUCGUGCAUUAGGCUCACCAACUAGCUCAACGACUUCAACUAACUCUCUGACGCAUGUCCUUUGCUGGCACAACCACAGUCGCUGAAUAAAAUGUCCCGUGUCC